This 541-nucleotide long non-coding RNA is filed under the name Ananas comosus (pineapple). Its description in RNAcentral is "long non-coding RNA (ACOM_LNC041459)". The record is from RNAcentral. Lineage: Eukaryota; Viridiplantae; Streptophyta; Magnoliopsida; Poales; Bromeliaceae.
UUCUGCAAUGAUCCAGCGCCAACGUUUGGGACGGCAUAGUGUCACACUCCAAUAAUCCCACAUCGGAUAGAAAUGGGAAUGUGAUUGGGUAUAUAAGAGACUUAGACACUAGUAAUAAUAACUCGACUUAAGCAUUUUGGGCCGGUAGUUUGGGCCCAACGAAUUAUUGUUGCUAGUAGGCUGGGUCGUUAUAUUAAAUAUCAGAAUCGGUUCACCUGCUGGAAAUGUGUGGCGAGUCUCGAGUGAGUCAGGCUCUGAAAGACAAGUGAUGGGCUAUGUUGGAGUCUGAGUGACAAGGUGAUUGGCUAUGCCAGAGUCAGGAUGUUUUAACGGGGGGAGUCUGUCACACCCAAUAAUCCCACAUCGGAUAGAAAUGGGGAUGUCACACCCCAAUAAUCCCACAUCCCAUAAAAAUGGGGAUGCGAUUGGGUAUAUAAGAGACUUAAAUACUAGUAAUAAUAACUGGGCUUAAGCAUUUUGGGUCGGUGGUUUGGAACUAAUAAGUUAUUGUUGCUAAUAACGGGGGGAGUCCAAAACAUGC